This is a non-coding RNA of Brachypodium distachyon (stiff brome), 126 nucleotides long. The record is from Rfam. Lineage: Eukaryota; Viridiplantae; Streptophyta; Magnoliopsida; Poales; Poaceae.
CAAAUACUCCCUCCGUCCCAUAUUAAGUGACAAAGUUUUACAUGUAUCUAGACAUAUUGUAGCAUAUAGAUACGUCCAUAUUUAAACAAAUUUGAGUCACUUAAUAUGGGACAGAGGGAGUAUAUG